GAUGAAGAACGUAGCGAAAUGCGAUAAGUAAUGUGAAUUGCAGAAUUCAGUGAAUCAUCGAAUCUUUGAACGCACCUUGCACCCUUUGGCUAUUCCGAAGGGUAUGCCUGUUUGAGUAUCAUGAACACCUCAACUCUCAUGGUUUGCCAUGAUGAGCUUGGACUUUGGUGGUCUUGCUGGCCUGUGGUCAGCUCCUCUCAAAUGGAUUAGCUUGCCAGUGUUUGGUGGCAUCACAGGUGUGAUAACUAUCUACGCUUGUGGUUUUCCACCAGGUAACCUUCAGCAAUGGGGGUUCGCUGGGGCUCAUAAAUGUCUCUCCUCAGUGAGGACAGCUCUUUGAACGUUUGAUCUCAAAUCAGGUAGGACUACCCGCUGAACUUAAGCAUAUCAAUAAGCGGAGGA
This 402-nucleotide unclassified non-coding RNA is filed under the name soil metagenome. Its description in RNAcentral is "partial contains 5.8S ribosomal RNA, internal transcribed spacer 2, and large subunit ribosomal RNA". The stretch from base 1 to 121 matches the Rfam family "5.8S ribosomal RNA", at positions 35 to 154 of the family's 154-position model. The record is from RNAcentral.